AGGCACGUAGCUCAGGGGGAGAGCGCUACCCUGACACGGUAGAAGUCCGCGGUUCAAAUCCGCGCGUGCCUACCA
This 75-nucleotide transfer RNA is filed under the name Desulfatitalea sp. BRH_c12. Its description in RNAcentral is "tRNA-Val". It matches the Rfam family "tRNA". Rfam says of the family: Transfer RNA (tRNA) molecules are approximately 80 nucleotides in length. The record is from RNAcentral. Lineage: Bacteria; Pseudomonadati; Thermodesulfobacteriota; Desulfobacteria; Desulfobacterales; Desulfosarcinaceae. RNAcentral also lists the same sequence under 7 other names.